GCCGACGGUGCCCCGCACCGCCGUGGUGACGUGCGACUCCCGGUGGUCCAGCAGCUUGGCCAGCCCGAAGUCGCCGACGACGGCCUCGCACGCCUCGUCCAGCAGCACGUUGGCGGCCUUGACGUCGCGGUGGAUGAUCUUGGGGUCGCACUGCUCGUGCAGGUACACCAGGCCCCUCGCCGCCCCCACCGCGAUCCUCCUCCUCGUCCCCCACUCCAACGCCGGCUUCGCUGCAUGCGAUUUUAUAGCGGGAGGCGACGCUGCCGUUGGACAUGAAGGGGUAGACUAGGAGGCGCUCGGUGGCGGUCAUGCAGAAGCCGUAGAGGCGGAGGAGGUUGCGGUGGAGGGCGAGGCUGAUCAUCUCCACCUCCGUCUGGAACUGGGCCUCGCCGCCGGCCGCGUUGCCGUCCUUGAGCCGCUUCACCGCCACCAGCGUCCCGUCGGGGAGCUGCCCCCUGUACACGUUCCCGAACCCUCCUUUCCCCAGGAUGUUC
This 494-nucleotide small RNA is filed under the name Oryza sativa Japonica Group (Japanese rice). RNAcentral describes it as "sRNA Os06g0274550". Lineage: Eukaryota; Viridiplantae; Streptophyta; Magnoliopsida; Poales; Poaceae. The record is from RNAcentral.